Molecule: ribosomal RNA, 858 nt
Filed under: uncultured euryarchaeote
Lineage: Archaea; Methanobacteriati; Methanobacteriota
Description: bacterial SSU rRNA
Rfam family: Archaeal small subunit ribosomal RNA
Source: RNAcentral
UUCCGGUUGAUCCUGCCGGAGGCGACCGCUUUGGGAGUUCGAUUAAGCCAUGCGAGUCGUGAGUCUUAGGGACUCGGCAUACUGCUCAGUAACACGUGGAUAACCUGCCCUAUCGUCUGGAAUAACCUCGGGAAACUGAGAAUAAGGCCGGAUAGUUCACAAUGCCUGGAACGGUUUGUGAAUCAAGGUAGGAUGGGUCUGCGGCGUAUCAGGUUGUAGGGGGUGUAAAGGACCCCCUAGCYUUCGACGCGUACGGGUGUUGGGAGACAUAGCCCGGAGAUGGAUUCUGAGACACGAAUCCAGACCCUACGGGGUGCAGCAGGCGCGAAAACUUCACACUGCAGGAAACUGUGAUGAGGGAACUCCUAGUGCAUGCACUAUGUGUAUGUAGAUCCUACUCUUAACAAGUAGAGGGAAAGGGCUGGGAAAGACCGGUGCCAGCCGCCGCGGUAAUACCGGCAGCUCAAGUGGUCGUCGCUUUUAUUGGGCCUAAAACGUCCGUAGCCUGUUUGGUAAAUCUGUGGGUAAAUCAACCCGCUCAACGGAUUGAAUUCUGCAGAGACUGCCAGACUAGGGACCGGGAGAGGUGUGGGGUACUCGAGGGGUAGGGGUAAAAUCCUGUCAUCCUUCGAGGACCACCAGUUGCGAAGGCGCCACACUGGAACGGAUCCGACGGUCAGGGACGAAGCCUAGGGGCACGAACCGGAUUAGAUACCCGGGUAGUCCUAGGUGUAAACGCUGUGAACUUGGUGUCGGGGGUCCGCAAGGGGUCCCCGGUGCCGGAGUGAAGAUGUUAAGUUCACUGCCUGGGGAGUACGGUCGCAAGGCUGAAACUUAAAGGAAUUGGCGGGGCAGCAC